GAAAAGAGUAUGAUGUCAGACCAUGAGAAAGCUUGCGGAGAUAAGAUUACUCGAUUGGAGGAGUCUCUGAAAAAGGAAAACUCAGGACGACAAAAAUUUUAGCAUUUUGAGGAAAACUUUGGGUUCCCUUUUUGAGAAUGCCUCAGAUGAUGAUUUCCCACCUGAUGAUUAAAGCUUUGCUUCAGUGUUGGCAUCUCAGAGAAAAGGCAAAACUGACCACUCUUUCAACCUGAUUCAAGA
This is a long non-coding RNA of Humulus lupulus (European hop), 240 nucleotides long. RefSeq lists it as uncharacterized. The record is from RefSeq and is a predicted model, not a curated record. The transcript has 2 exons. Lineage: Eukaryota; Viridiplantae; Streptophyta; Magnoliopsida; Rosales; Cannabaceae.